Molecule: ribosomal RNA, 2925 nt
Filed under: Escherichia coli
Lineage: Bacteria; Pseudomonadati; Pseudomonadota; Gammaproteobacteria; Enterobacterales; Enterobacteriaceae
Description: 23S ribosomal RNA
Rfam family: Bacterial large subunit ribosomal RNA
Source: RNAcentral
GGGUUGUGAGGUUAAGCGACUAAGCGUACACGGUGGAUGCCCUGGCAGUCAGAGGCGAUGAAGGACGUGCUAAUCUGCGAUAAGCGUCGGUAAGGUGAUAUGAACCGUUAUAACCGGCGAUUUCCGAAUGGGGAAACCCAGUGUGUUUCGACACACUAUCAUUAACUGAAUCCAUAGGUUAAUGAGGCGAACCGGGGGAACUGAAACAUCUAAGUACCCCGAGGAAAAGAAAUCAACCGAGAUUCCCCCAGUAGCGGCGAGCGAACGGGGAGCAGCCCAGAGUCUGAAUCAGUGUGUGUGUUAGUGGAAGCGUCUGGAAAGGCGCGCGAUACAGGGUGACAGCCCCGUACACAAAAAUGCACAUGCUGUGAGCUCGAUGAGUAGGGCGGGACACGUGGUAUCCUGUCUGAAUAUGGGGGGACCAUCCUCCAAGGCUAAAUACUCCUGACUGACCGAUAGUGAACCAGUACCGUGAGGGAAAGGCGAAAAGAACCCCGGCGAGGGGAGUGAAAAAGAACCUGAAACCGUGUACGUACAAGCAGUGGGAGCCUCUUUUAUGGGGUGACUGCGUACCUUUUGUAUAAUGGGUCAGCGACUUAUAUUCUGUAGCAAGGUUAACCGAAUAGGGGAGCCGAAGGGAAACCGAGUCUUAACUGGGCGUUAAGUUGCAGGGUAUAGACCCGAAACCCGGUGAUCUAGCCAUGGGCAGGUUGAAGGUUGGGUAACACUAACUGGAGGACCGAACCGACUAAUGUUGAAAAAUUAGCGGAUGACUUGUGGCUGGGGGUGAAAGGCCAAUCAAACCGGGAGAUAGCUGGUUCUCCCCGAAAGCUAUUUAGGUAGCGCCUCGUGAAUUCAUCUCCGGGGGUAGAGCACUGUUUCGGCAAGGGGGUCAUCCCGACUUACCAACCCGAUGCAAACUGCGAAUACCGGAGAAUGUUAUCACGGGAGACACACGGCGGGUGCUAACGUCCGUCGUGAAGAGGGAAACAACCCAGACCGCCAGCUAAGGUCCCAAAGUCAUGGUUAAGUGGGAAACGAUGUGGGAAGGCCCAGACAGCCAGGAUGUUGGCUUAGAAGCAGCCAUCAUUUAAAGAAAGCGUAAUAGCUCACUGGUCGAGUCGGCCUGCGCGGAAGAUGUAACGGGGCUAAACCAUGCACCGAAGCUGCGGCAGCGACGCUUAUGCGUUGUUGGGUAGGGGAGCGUUCUGUAAGCCUGUGAAGGUGUGCUGUGAGGCAUGCUGGAGGUAUCAGAAGUGCGAAUGCUGACAUAAGUAACGAUAAAGCGGGUGAAAAGCCCGCUCGCCGGAAGACCAAGGGUUCCUGUCCAACGUUAAUCGGGGCAGGGUGAGUCGACCCCUAAGGCGAGGCCGAAAGGCGUAGUCGAUGGGAAACAGGUUAAUAUUCCUGUACUUGGUGUUACUGCGAAGGGGGGACGGAGAAGGCUAUGUUGGCCGGGCGACGGUUGUCCCGGUUUAAGCGUGUAGGCUGGUUUUCCAGGCAAAUCCGGAAAAUCAAGGCUGAGGCGUGAUGACGAGGCACUACGGUGCUGAAGCAACAAAUGCCCUGCUUCCAGGAAAAGCCUCUAAGCAUCAGGUAACAUCAAAUCGUACCCCAAACCGACACAGGUGGUCAGGUAGAGAAUACCAAGGCGCUUGAGAGAACUCGGGUGAAGGAACUAGGCAAAAUGGUGCCGUAACUUCGGGAGAAGGCACGCUGAUAUGUAGGUGAAGUCCCUUGCGGAUGGAGCUGAAAUCAGUCGAAGAUACCAGCUGGCUGCAACUGUUUAUUAAAAACACAGCACUGUGCAAACACGAAAGUGGACGUAUACGGUGUGACGCCUGCCCGGUGCCGGAAGGUUAAUUGAUGGGGUCAGCGCAAGCGAAGCUCUUGAUCGAAGCCCCGGUAAACGGCGGCCGUAACUAUAACGGUCCUAAGGUAGCGAAAUUCCUUGUCGGGUAAGUUCCGACCUGCACGAAUGGCGUAAUGAUGGCCAGGCUGUCUCCACCCGAGACUCAGUGAAAUUGAACUCGCUGUGAAGAUGCAGUGUACCCGCGGCAAGACGGAAAGACCCCGUGAACCUUUACUAUAGCUUGACACUGAACAUUGAGCCUUGAUGUGUAGGAUAGGUGGGAGGCUUAGAAGUGUGGACGCCAGUCUGCAUGGAGCCGACCUUGAAAUACCACCCUUUAAUGUUUGAUGUUCUAACGUUGACCCGUAAUCCGGGUUGCGGACAGUGUCUGGUGGGUAGUUUGACUGGGGCGGUCUCCUCCUAAAGAGUAACGGAGGAGCACGAAGGUUGGCUAAUCCUGGUCGGACAUCAGGAGGUUAGUGCAAUGGCAUAAGCCAGCUUGACUGCGAGCGUGACGGCGCGAGCAGGUGCGAAAGCAGGUCAUAGUGAUCCGGUGGUUCUGAAUGGAAGGGCCAUCGCUCAACGGAUAAAAGGUACUCCGGGGAUAACAGGCUGAUACCGCCCAAGAGUUCAUAUCGACGGCGGUGUUUGGCACCUCGAUGUCGGCUCAUCACAUCCUGGGGCUGAAGUAGGUCCCAAGGGUAUGGCUGUUCGCCAUUUAAAGUGGUACGCGAGCUGGGUUUAGAACGUCGUGAGACAGUUCGGUCCCUAUCUGCCGUGGGCGCUGGAGAACUGAGGGGGGCUGCUCCUAGUACGAGAGGACCGGAGUGGACGCAUCACUGGUGUUCGGGUUGUCAUGCCAAUGGCACUGCCCGGUAGCUAAAUGCGGAAGAGAUAAGUGCUGAAAGCAUCUAAGCACGAAACUUGCCCCGAGAUGAGUUCUCCCUGACUCCUUGAGAGUCCUGAAGGAACGUUGAAGACGACGACGUUGAUAGGCCGGGUGUGUAAGCGCAGCGAUGCGUUGAGCUAACCGGUACUAAUGAACCGUGAGGCUUAACCUUACAACGCCGAAG